Molecule: long non-coding RNA, 2261 nt
Organism: Cairina moschata (Muscovy duck)
Lineage: Eukaryota; Metazoa; Chordata; Aves; Anseriformes; Anatidae
Source: Ensembl
AUGUGCCAAAGGAGGUGUGUGCUCAGAGAGCCUGGCAUGAGGUGGGGCAGGACGGGAGCAGGAAAGGAGGUUUCUGUGUGCAGGAACGGGGGCAGGAUCUGCGUGGUGAGCGGCUCCCUGAGCCCACGUGGGCUGGGGCUUGAGGCAGAAGAGGAAAAAGGGGAGACCUCAGUGGCUGCACCUGGGCAGGUCACCUUGGCUGCUUUGUGGCUGGCAGGGAGAAAUUCACUCUUGUGGGAUGCUGCUGGCUUGGGCAGAUCUUUAGAAGAAGAGCUGCUACCCCUAGGAGCAGCUGCUCUCCUCCACCAACUACAAACACCAGGGCAAUUUGUCUUUUCUAGUGGAAAAGGCUUUUCAGGUUCAGCUUGGAAGAAGAACCAGAAACAUCCAAGAGCAGUGCACGGUGUGGAUUUGAGGUGUAGAUGUGGAUGUUCAGCACUUUCUCCUGCCUAAAGGCAAGCCUGGCACGUGAACAGGGCUGUUUCCAUCCCAGAGCGGUGCCUGCCUUACCUUCUGUCUCAUUUUCUUCCACUUUUAAGUGUGAAAAAAACUGUUUCCAUUCCAAAAGUACUGAAAUUGUGACCAUUUGCUGCAGCCUGUGAAGCUCAGUUUGGGGCUGGUGGCUGAGCGGACUUGUCCCAGCCACUGAGACCUUUGAGGUGCCCCUUGCUGCAGACCCCACAGGGUACAGGAGGGAAAGUCACGUUGGCCUGGCUUGUGUGGGUCGGGAUGUGUCUGAGAACCUGGUGUCUGUCCUUUAUUUCCCUCAGUAUUCGAAGUUUUUCUCUUUCCCCAUCAGCUGUGGGCAGAUGCAGAUGCUGGGCACUGAGCUUGGCACCCUGGGGCAUGGCAGUGGGGUUCUGCACCUCCACGGCAGAGGUAAUUUGCACCCAGGUCUGUUAAUUAGAGCUGGCAGGGAUUUCUCCACCUGAGCUUCUUCUGUUAUUACAGAAAAGCCCCUUUCUGCAAAAAUUACACUUUUCUUGCUCUGUUUUUCUUUUUCAGUAUAUAUACAUAAAACAACGGGGUUUAGUUUAAAUCUAAUAAAAAUGUUUUCAAUGGAUUUUUUCAACAUCACUGUGCUGUAUUGAUCCUCCCCCUCUACUCUGCCCUGGUCAGGCCUCCCCUGGAGUGCUGUGUCCAGUUCUGGGCUCCCCAGUACAAGAAAGACAGGGAAAGAGACCAGCAGAGGGCCACAAAGAUGAUACGGGGCCUGGAGCAGCUUCCCUGUGAGGAAAGGCUGAGAGACCUGGGGCUGGUCAGCCUGGAGAAGAGAAGGCUGAGAGGGGAUCUCCUCAGUGUGUAUAAAUACCUGAGGUGUGGGGGACAGAGGGAUUGGGCUGACUUCUUUUUGUUGGUUUGGUUUUUGUUGGACAGGACAAGGGGCAGUGGCCACAAGAUGGAGCCCAGGCAGUUCCGCACCAACAUGCAAAGAAUUUCUUCACAGUGAGGGUGACGGAGCACUGGGACAGGCUGCCCAGGGAGGCUGUGGGGUCUUCUCUGGAGAUAUUCAAGGCCUGUCUGGACGCCAUCCUGGGCAGCCUGCUCUGAGGAACCUGCUUUGGCAGGGGGGCUGGACCCGAUGAGCUCUGGAGGCCCCUUCCACCCCCUUCAAUUCUGUGGUUCUGUGUUGCAGGUGUGAGCAGGAGUUUAAUCUUCUGUGAGGUGAGUGAUGCAACCCAACCACAUUUCCCAUGACGUGCGGGGUGGAGGCGGAUUGGGCUCCCCCAGGUGAUUCAGCGCAGAGCUCACCCUCUGCUGGCUCCCCCGGGUCGCAGAGGAGCCACGAGAGAUUAGUCAGGUCAUGUAGCAAGGCAAAUUACACGUCUGCGCUCAGACAGUGUCAUGUCCCCAGCCCAGCUCUUCUGCUGGAGGUUUUGGUGCGUCAUGAGAGGCACCAGGCCCUGAGGACAGCGUGGCACAGGUGGCCAGGGCUGGAGCUGGCCCUUUUCUACGGGGUCACUCCUUGCGACAGAAACUGGGGAACAAAUGGUCAAAUCAAAACCUGAUGACUACUAAAACACUUCAGUUUCUGCUAAAAUUAUUUUAUUUUUAUUUUAUUUUAUUUUAUUUUAUUUUAUUUUAUUUUAUUUUAUUUUAUUUUAUUUUAUUUUAUUUUAUUUUAUUUUAUAUAUUUUUAUUUUAUAUAUUUUAUAUAUUUUAUUUUCACAGAAUCACAGAAUUACUAGGUUGGAAGAGACCUCAAGAUCAUCGAGUCCAACCUCUAACCUAACACAAACAGUCCCCACUAAACCAUAUCC